AGGUAUCUCUUUCUUCUUGUCUAUCACAUUAUAUUUCUUGGGUUUUGGUAUGUUUUUCUUUUUUCUCGCGUCGCUGGCGAAAGGAAGGAGAUCCUGACCAUUCUUCAAAAUUGUGCCGUUCUCGGUAUAGCCAUCGGCGUGCUUUACGGUCUGUGAGCGACAAAAGAGGGAGAGUGUGUACGAAGAAGAGAACCAGAGCGACAGA
Carica papaya (papaya) is the source of this 205-nucleotide non-coding RNA. NCBI's taxonomy places the organism in Eukaryota, Viridiplantae, Streptophyta, Magnoliopsida, Brassicales, Caricaceae. The record is from RefSeq and is a predicted model, not a curated record.